Molecule: small nuclear RNA, 108 nt
Organism: Oryctolagus cuniculus (rabbit)
Lineage: Eukaryota; Metazoa; Chordata; Mammalia; Lagomorpha; Leporidae
Source: Ensembl
GUGCUCGCUUGGGUAGCCACAUAUACUAAAAUUGGAAUGAUACAGAGAAGAUUAGCAUUGCCCCUGCGCAAGGAUGACUUGCAAAAUCGUGAAGCAUUCCAUAUUUUU